UAAUGACUCGAUAGUGUGAUGAUAUCUCCGGCUCUUCCAACUCGAACUAAAGGAUAAACCUAUAAGGAAUGGAAAAGAGAACACAGAGUAAGCUUCAAUGCUUAGUAAGUUUUAAGCAAUGCAAACAAUUAAUUUACUUAUAGAUCGAUUAUUUCAAAUUUUCAAGAAAUCAUUCCUAGGUAAUUGCCAUUUCGGCCAAGUAUCCAUGAACAUAAUGCAUAUUUAGCAAAUUCACCUCACUUGAAUCUGAACUCAAUUAAAACCAAAUAUUGAAAUCACAAAUAAGAUCAUAAGAACUCGAAAAGUAUCUCAUUAACUAGUUUUAACCAUGUUUGCAACAAAAUCACAAAUUCACUACAAGCUGUUUUCCUGAGCAACAGUCACUAAAUUAUUUAUAACUGGAGAUAAGAAACUCCAAAUAAAGUGCCGUUAAUUUUUCCUGAAAAUAGACUUAUAUAUCUUCCAUCCAUAAAAUUUUCAGAAUUUUUGGUUUGACCAAUCAAUACCAGAUUUUUAUUGAAG
This 522-nucleotide long non-coding RNA is filed under the name Gossypium barbadense (sea-island cotton). Its description in RNAcentral is "long non-coding RNA (GBAR_LNC005214)". Lineage: Eukaryota; Viridiplantae; Streptophyta; Magnoliopsida; Malvales; Malvaceae. The record is from RNAcentral.